UACAGAGGGGGCAAGCGUUGUUCGGAAUUACUGGGCGUAAAGGGCGCGUAGGCGGCCUGCUAAGUCGAACGUGAAAUCCCUGGGCUCAACCCAGGAACUGCGUCCGAUACUGGUUGGCUUGAAUCCGGGAGAGGGAUGUGGAAUUCCAGGUGUAGCGGUGAAAUGCGUAGAUAUCUGGAGGAACACCGGUGGCGAAGGCGACAUCCUGGACCGAUAUUGACGCUGAGGCGCGAAAGCGAGGGGAGCAAACAGG
This 253-nucleotide ribosomal RNA is filed under the name uncultured bacterium. RNAcentral's name for it is "partial 16S ribosomal RNA". It matches the Rfam family "Bacterial small subunit ribosomal RNA", at positions 524 to 776 of the family's 1533-position model. The record is from RNAcentral.